RNAcentral lists this ribosomal RNA (492 nucleotides) under uncultured bacterium. RNAcentral's name for it is "partial 16S ribosomal RNA". It matches the Rfam family "Bacterial small subunit ribosomal RNA", at positions 29 to 507 of the family's 1533-position model. The record is from RNAcentral.
AGUGAACGCUGGCGGUAGGCCUAACACAUGCAAGUCGAACGGCAGCACAGUAAGAGCUUGCUCUUACGGGUGGCGAGUGGCGGACGGGUGAGGAAUACAUCGGAAUCUACUUUUUCGUGGGGGAUAACGUAGGGAAACUUACGCUAAUACCGCAUACGACCUACGGGUGAAAGCAGGGGAUCUUCGGACCUUGCGCGAUUGAAUGAGCCGAUGUCGGAUUAGCUAGUUGGCGGGGUAAAGGCCCACCAAGGCGACGAUCCGUAGCUGGUCUGAGAGGAUGAUCAGCCACACUGGAACUGAGACACGGUCCAGACUCCUACGGGAGGCAGCAGUGGGGAAUAUUCGACAAUGGGCGCAAGCCUGAUCCAGCCAUACCGCGUGGGUGAAGAGGGCCUUCGGGUUGUAAAGCCCUUUUGUUGGGAAAGAAAAGCAGCAGGUUAAUACCCCGCUGUUCUGACGGUACCCAAAGAAUAAGCACCGGCUAACUUCGUG